GCGCGCGCACCCCGCGCGUGCGCCACAGUCCCCUUGUUCUAAGCAAACUGUGGUCUGGACGUUUGGCUUGUGGCAAUGUCUGAGGCGGACAUCCUACUUCUUAACCUUCGUUUGCGCUGAAUCCUGCAGAUCCAGCAGGACAGGCUUGCCUUGUCCUUUUCCUCUCCAAGCGAACCUGCCCUCCGUCCCUGCAAACUACCAUUAUGUGUUGGGCACCGUAGGAAGCACCGAAGGCUUGAAGGCGGUGGUGGCGCCUUUAAUCCCAGCACCCGGGAGUCAGAGAACCGGAUCUCAGUUCAAGGCCUGCCUGGUCUACAGAGUGAGUUCCAGGACAGCCAACGCUACACAGAGAAACCCUGUCUCGGAAGAAAAAAAAAAAUAGUUUUCACAGAAAAAGUAAAACAGUCUUAUGGUGAAAAAUACAGAAAAUGCAGACAAUUUGAAACGUUUUUGUGAGUCUUCUGGACAUGUAGAAAUUAAGGUUUUCUUUAAAUUGGGACAGAUUCAUUGUGCCUUUGACAUAAUUGCAGCUUUUUCUAAAUGCAAUUACUAUCAAUUGCAGUUUUUUCUAAUAAGCAUUUAAAAUAUGUAAUCAUGAAAAUAAUAAUUUCUUGCCAUCUAACAUGACAUGGUAAGUGAACCAUCUAUAUUGGAAGACAUUGCAAGAAAUUGGUGGUUCUCAAAGUUUGGUUUAGACACCUCUGAGGUUCUCCAAGACUCUUUGAGGGUCCAUUAGGCUGAAAGUAUUUUCAUACUAAUACAGAGGUGUCUCCUCUCUUCUUGUGGAGACUUCUGAAGCCAACUCGCUGUUCAGUAUUUCACAGUAUGAAUGAGAACAGCAUAAGGCAAGUUGUCUUCCAUUAAGCCACAUAUAAAAUAUUUGGAAAAAAUUGUGACUGUCACUCUUCAAAGAAGUUAUUUUCAAUAACAUUAUGUUAGCCUGCAAUGUUCACUGUUACAUUUUUAAAUUAAUGGUUAGUAGUUUAUCUGAUUUAUAAUGCUAACAACCAUUGAUAAAUACAAUAAACAAAAGAUCAUUGAUGGGCUCUCUAUUUUAAAGCAUAUAUAGGGGUCCUAUGACUGCAGAGUAGAUGAGACCUGGACGGGAGGACAGUCCAAGAUUUUCUCAUGGAUUAGCUAACAAAAUUAAAACUCAUAUAUCAGAGAAUAUCAUUUAUGAGCAUUUAUGACACAAAAGCAAAAGGGGAUUUAAAAUGACACCUGAUUCGUUAAAAGUGAUGAUGAGGAAUUAAAUCUUGGCAAAAUUUAAUGACUAGAUCAUGAAAAACCAAACUUGGGUUCAAGAUAACUGAUGAAUUUUCAUUAAAAGUUUAUAAUAAAAAUUGACCUUGCAUUAAUUGUAACAAACAGUAAAUGGGAAGAUUUACAAUCAAUUUAAAUCUACUGUAUGUUAUUUUGUCAAGGAAUUAGAUUUUAAUUGCCAAUGCUUCUUUUUAAAUGAAGAUUUGUUAAUUCUGUGUAAUUUGGGUGAAACUGUAUUUAUAAUUACAGAGUCAAGAUACCAAGGGGAGAAUUUCUGCUGGGUUUAAGUCGGACAUGUGUCAUCCAGACAGGAAAACAAACACAAACCGUUAGGUGUGACUCCAGCCCAGGUCCUAGCCCCUGCUUGUUACACUGGUAUCUUUUCCUGCUUGGUUUUACUCUGUGUCGUCUAGCCACGGUAGUCAAAAGAGCUCACUCUGUUUUCUUCAUUCCUUGUUUCAUUCUUUCAGCAGGGCUCUGUGGAGGCCUCCAGGAUAUGUGAUAUUACAGUGGUUCUAAUGUGUAAAGCCCGAGAGGCCAGUUGUCCCUGAUGUCUUUACUUAGCAAAUCUUUCCCUCUCCUUUGGCUGAGUUAACGCCACAUAAGUUAGCAUAACAUUUUCCUCGACAAGCCUUAGACUAGUCCCUAAAUGUUCCUGGUUAUCAUUCUGAUGGCUUCUGCCUGUCUUCAUCACAUGUCACAUAGUUGAAAUAGCAAAGCAAUAGCAAAAAUCUUUCUCAACCAGAAGGUAAGCACUGCAUGAACUGAACUUACAGUUGGAUAUUGAAUGGAAUAAGAGCUUCAUGUCUAAUUACCAGGUGGACUACUGUGCAGCAAAUGGAAAUCGAAAUGUUAGUAUCCUAAAAUUCACACGCUGAGAUCCUAACCACCACCAAGGUGAAACCUUUGGGUAGGUAAUUGGUUCAUAAGAGAAAACCCUUUGGUUUUGUCACCUUUAUAAAAUACACUUAAGGGAACUUGUUGCCCUUCCGUCGUGUGAUGGCACCUAAGAAUCAGAAGGUGAUUCUGUACCUGUCCACACUUGGAUCUUGGGUUUCUCAGCCCCCAAGACUGAGGAAUGAAAUUCUGUCAUUUGUGAGCUACCCGGGGUGGUAUUUUGUUAUAGCAAACUAGUACAGGGAAGAUGUGGUCUCUAUUCUCAUCUACUUAUCACUCAGGUAAACAGACGACAGAACACAGCAGGAAACUUGCCCAGUUUAUAAAAGACCCAGGAAAUCAAGGUUUCUGCGAUCAAAAUCCAAGAGCCUCAUGCCAUUAACACAGUGGUUCUCAACCUGAGGGUCGCAACCCCUUUGGGGAUUGCAUAUUAGAUAUUUACAGUAAGAUUCAUGACAGUAGCAAAAUGACAGCUAAGAAGUAGCCGUGAAAAUAGUUUUGGGGUGGGGACCACCACGACAUGAGGAACUGUAUUAAAGGGUUGCAGCCUUAAGGAGGUUAAGAACUGCCCUAUUAACAACUGAAAAUCCAGCCUCCAGCCUUCAGGAACAAACUAACAGUCUUGGAAUACAGGGCUUUUGGCUCCCUCUGCCCCAUUCAGGAAGGAUACAACUAUGGACUUGGGUAAGUAUAAGCCAACUCAAGAUCGAUAAGCACUGGUUCACUGUUUACUUUUUCCUUGCUCUUUUUUGUUUGCUUCGAUUAUUAUUUUUAUUUAUUUAAGAGACAGGGUCUAGGGCUGAAGAGAUGGCUCAGUGGUUAAGAGUAAAUACUAUUUUUUGUUUUGUUUUGUUUUGUUUUUUGAGACAGGGUUUCUCUGUGCAGCUUUGGAACCUGUCCUGGAACUCACUCUGUAGACCAGGCUGGCCCAGAACUCACAGAGAUCUGCCUGCCUCUGCCUCCAGAGUGAUGGGAUUAAAGGAGGGCACCACUGUGCCCGGCUCACUUUUAUUUCUUAAUAUACCUGUAAUCCAUCCUCCCCAUCCUUGGCCAGUCUCUGUGGCUUGGGGAUGAGGUUGGGAGGACAGUGAGCUACAGAUUAACAUGUCCUGAGAGGUUGUCUUCUGGACCAAGCAACGGCUAUCUUGGGGAGUUCACUUGUGUCCCCAGCAGGAAUGGUUGACCCUUUAUACACCCAAGAGUAGAGGCCUAGAGUAGGGCAUGAGAUUCUCUUGUACCCAGCUGCUCCCUACCUGCUGGCAAUGCUGCACAUGACCUGGGCAAGGCAAGGGAAGAAUAGAGCAAGGGCUCCGUCUGUGUGCCUUCUUCCCUGCUGGGCAAGGCUUUCCAGGGGGGCUGGUUGGGGGAGGAGUGUCCACACCCCUGUAAGUAACCCCUCACCUUGGCUCUGUAAGGAAGCCUAAUAAACUCAUUGGUUCCUCAGAGUGAACUUGGGUAGAAUCUUGCCUCCAUUUGUCACUGGGACCUUGGGAGGAGGAGUAGAUGUUGCUCUCUGUCUCCCCAGGGAAGAGAUUUUAGCCUCACCAUUUCAUUGGCUUAGUUUCUGUCAAGCACACAGGUCAUAAGGCCAGUCCAAAGUCAAGUCUUAAAGGACUGUCCUGGUUAAAGAGAAAACACUUGAUUCCUGUUUUACUUUUUGAGACAGGGUUUGUCUUGGUUACUUUUCCAUUGCUGUGAAGAGACAGCAUGACCCAGGCAGCUUAUAGGAGGAAGAAUUUAUUGGGGCUUAAAAUUUCAGAGGGUGAGUCCGUGACCAUUGUGAUGGGGAACACGGUAACAGGCAGGUAGACAGACAGGCAGGCAUGGAGCAGUACUGGAGCAGUAGCUGAGAGUUUGUGUUGGGAGCUGGAGAGAUGGCUCAUAGAUGGCUGCUCUUCCAGAAAUCCUGAGUUCAAUUCCCAGCAACCACAUGGUGGCUCACAACCAUCUACAAUGGGAUCAGACGCCCUCCUCUUCUCUCUGAGGCUCUCUACUCUCAUGCAGGCACUACACCCAAGUAGAGCUCUUAUAUACAUAAAUAAAUAAAUCUUAAAAAAAAAAAAGAGAGAGAGAGUUUAUGUUGGAUCCACAAGCAAGAGCAGAGAGAAAGACCAGGAAUGGUGUGGGCUUUUGAAACCUCAGAGUCCACCCCCAAUGGCACAGCUCCAACAGGACCACACCUAAUCCUGCUCAAGCAGUUCUACCAACUGGAGACCAAAUGUUCAAAUCUAUGAGCCUAUGGGGGCCGUUCUCAUUCAAACUACCGCAGGGCUUCAUGUAACCCAGCCUGACUUCAAACUCCCUGUGUGGCCGAAAAUGACCUUUAACUCCUGAUUGUCUGGCCUCUGCCUCCCAAGUGCCGGGACUACAAGUGUGCAUCUAGCACCAGGACACUUUGAUAAUCAGAUUAUGAUGCAGUUAACCAAAUGUGCCGGCUCUUUGAGGUCAAGAUUUCCCACAGCGAAAGGAAUAAUGCUGAAAGAAAGGGACCAGGGGACCUGAAAUUCAAGUCUCAUGAUACCUCUUCCCAAGCUACCUCUAAGAUGGAAACCAGAUGUCUUUAAAUUCUGUUACCAAAGGAAAGAGUGGGGCAAGAAGACACACACCUCAUUAAAACGUUGAGGCGACAAGAAACUGCCUGGUGGCAGAGGUGAGAGAGAUGGCUGAAGAGCAUCUCUUCGCAGGCCUCUAUCCUGUGCUCUUGUAGGAUCAUACAGCAUUCUCCUGAGACUCACAUUAGCAUGGCUUCGUGGGUCCACGUAAGGACACCCUCACUUCAGAGCAGAACCAUUUCUUUGCAGUUUAGUGGUGAGUCUUGGCCACACUGAGGAACAUUUUGCCAUGCCAAGUCUUUGGGAUGCUUUCCUGUCUUGUUCAUUCUUCUGAAGCACUAUUUCUCGAGCUUCAUACUACAUGACAUCUUAUCCUCUUUGGCUGCUCAGUUGUUUCCCAACUCUUUCGUUGCCUUUUUUUUCAUUUGUUUGUUUGUUUUGUUUUUCGAGACAGGGUUUUUCUAUGUAACCCUGGCUGUACUGGAAUUCACUCUGUUGACCAGGCUGGUCUCAAACUCAGAAAUCCACCUACCUCUGCCUCUCAAGUGCUGGGAUCAAGGGUGUGCACCACCACCACCUGGACUUGUUUCCCAGCUCUUAAAGAAUUCUGGCUGCUAAAACAUUGCCAAGGAUCAAGGGUAAUAAUAUGUUAGAUAAAACAAAGCUGAAUUUGUUUUUACUGCAGCCAUUGAGAACCUAUCAUUAGAGAUGUUUUGGUUACCUUUCCAUUUCUAUGAUAAAACACAUGAGAUGAUCAGCAUAAAGAGAGGAAAUACUUAUUUUGGCUCAUGGUUUCAAGAAAUUUCAGCCCAUGGUCAGCUGGUUCCAUUGUCCUGGGGCCUGUCUCAGGACAUCAUGGUUGGGCAGUUUUGUUGAUAAAACAGGGCCUUGCAGAGUAGGGAAGGGAUCUGCAGUCAGCUGGUCAGUGGUCUGGCUGGAGAUGACAAGUGAGGAGGUCUCUACUGGGACUGUUCAGCUCUGCCUCACAGUGUCUUAUGCGUGAGCACGCUUUGGGGGCUUGUUCUAAAGGAAACUGAAGAUUCCAAGGGAGAAGAGGAAAUGUGCAACUCACCUGGACAAAUUUGCUGCUGUCUCCUUAGUCAAAGUAGGCCAGCUGAUCAGACCCUGAAUUACUAUAAGAGGGGAGAAUCAAAGAGUAUAGAUAGAAGGAAAUAGGAAUGUUGAGGACAGUAAUUCAGUCAGUUACCAUAGCUACAUAACCCCAAUCAGCCUUUCUGCUAAGAAAUUUCAAGCAUUAUCUUUAAUUUGUCUUCAGUAAUUCCAUUCAGCAAGCCAUCACAGGAAAUAUUGUAAGCCAUUGACCUUGUAGGAUUUUCAAUAAAUCAGCAAAUAAAGAUGCCCUUUUGGUGUUUUACUGAACUUCUUUUUUCAGUCACAGUGGGUGAGACCUAUGUUGAAAAAAAUACUCCACAAAAUGAAAUAUGGUCAUUAUUUUAAAAAAGAAAUUUAAAAAAUUAUUGUAUUAUUUUGUGUGUAUGAAUGUUUGCCUGCAUGUGUGUCUGUGCAUCGUGAGUGUGCAGUGCCCACAGAGGCCAGAAGGGGGCGUCAGAUCCCCUGUAACUGGAGUUACAGAUGGCUGUGAGCUGCCACCAGGGUCCUCUGAAAGAGCAGCAGUUGUUCUUAACCCCUGAGUCAUCUCUCCAUCCCCUAGUAUAGUCAUGUUUACAUGAAUGAACGUGUGUGUUAUCAAGUGUAUGUGUAGGUGGGUACCUGUGCCUGUGUGCACACUAUCACUCUCUCCCAUAUUCCUUUGAGGCAGGGUUCUCCCUGAACCUGGAACUUGUAUGCUGUAAGCUGACCCGGCAGUCAGCAGACUUCAGGAACCCUCUUGUCUCUAUCCCUGUCCGUGCAGGGUUACAGAUGUGGAUCCAGCUGGGUGCUGGGUGCUAGGGUCAGAGCUCUGGUCCUCAGGCUUACAUUUUCCUAGCCCAGUGCAGUCACUAUUGGUGGGCUGUAUUGUCUUUUUUCUACCUUUAUGUUCCGGGAUGAAUCUAGAACAUUUUGGAGGGUACCCUAUCAGCCAUUCCUAAAGGUACUUGUUUGUUCGCCUUUGUUCAUGUCUCAAUGUUCUCUACCCUAGUUUGUUGCAUGGAAUAUCCAUACUCUGGAUUUGAACUUGGUAACACAUCUUUUAAGCAUCCUUCCUCCACUCCCUGUUAGAAGUCUACUUGCAGCUGGGCAGUGGUGGCAAACGCUUUUAAUCCCAGCACUUGGGAGGCAGAGGCAGGCAGAUCUCUGUGAGUUUGAGGCCAGCCUGGGCUACAGAGAGAGUUCCAGGAAAGGCGCAGUUACACAGAGAAACCCAGUCUGGAAGAAAAAACAAACAAACAAACAAAAACCAGAAGUCUACUUGCAGAAGUCUGUGUUAAAAAUGAAAUUUUCUGGAUGCCGUGUGCUGACAUCUUAUUUGGUGAUAAAUUUGUAACUUUACCUUUGGGUCAAACCAGGCAUCAAAGGUCUUGUUCUUUGGAGAAUUAAAUUUGAUAAAUUGUUCUUCUAAAAAUAAUUUUUUUAUGUGUAUGGGCAUUUUGCUGGCAUUUUUGUCUAUGCCCUACGUAUUUGCAGCAUUCAUGGAGGCUAGAAGAGGACAUUUGGUCCUCUGGAGCUGGAGUUACAAAUAGUUGUCAGUGGCCAUAUGGGUGCUUGUGAAGUGAACCCAGGUUCUCUGCAAGAGCAACAUAUGCUCUUAACUGCUGAGCCGUUUCUCCAGGCCACAAAUUGCCUUGUUUUCUAUCAUAUCUUUUUUCUUUUUUGUUUGUUUUUGUUUUUCAAAAUAUGGUUUCUCUGUGUAGCCUUAGCUGUCCUAGAACUAACUCUGUAGACCAGGCUGGCCUCUAACUCACAGAGGUCCACCUGCCUCUGCCUCUUCCACCCGAGUGCUGGGAUUAAAGGCGUGUGCCACCACCACCUGGCCUAUCACAUCUUACAAUAUGCAAAAUGAAGAGAAACAGUAAAGAGUCUGGAGAGAUUGCUCAGUCCAAGGAAGCUUGAGGGUUGAGAUUCAUCUCCCAAACAGGCCACGUAUAUAUGAAUGUGACCUCAGUGUUGAGGACAUGAAGACAGUGAAUCCCUGGGGUUUGCUGCUUAAUUGUCAAGUUCUAGGGCAGUGAGAGACCCUAUCUCAAAAAACGAGAUGGACAGCUCCUGAGGAAUUGUACCAAAGGUUGACACACACACACACACACACACACACACACACACACACACACACACGCACGCACAAGCAAGCACACGCAACUGAAAAAAGAAAAGUGGACCAUUGUCUUUUCUGUAUGCCUGGUUUUGUGAUUGUAGAUCAUUUUAUUACAUGGCAUCUUUCUUACAUAAUCUAUAGGAAAAUGUGUUUCGUCAUUCAACCAUUGUAUUUAAUGCUAUGGUCUCCAUGAGCCUUAAACUACCUUUUUGUUUUAGAGCUGAGGGUAGCCCACUUUUGCCAUCUCUAGGGCUUUGACGCAACAUUUCUUUGUAUUCUUCUGAACAUUUGUUCUUAGUUUCUUGCUUUUCCAUCUUUUUUUGCCUCAGCUAUCUCAGUUUAAAAACAAUCUAGCCAGGCACAGUGAUACAUGCCUAUAAUAUUAGCACUGGAAGGAUAUGGCAGGACUGUCAUGAGUUCAAGGCCAGCCUAGGCUGCAUGCUAAGUCCCAGACCAACCUGGCAGAGUGAAAUCCUAUGUGGUGUUUUGAAUGCUAAUGGUGCCCAUAGGUUUGGGAAGGAUUAGGAGGUCUGGCCUUGGAGGAGGUGUGUCACUGGGGGUGGGCUUUGUGGUUAUAAAAUGCUCAUGCUAUUCCUGAUAUGCUCUCUCUCCUGUCUCCUAUGUGUGGAUCAAGAUGUGAGCUCUUAGCUAUUCCUGCCGCCAUAUUCCUGCUCUGAGCUUUGUCCCGCCAUCAUGGACUGUAACCCUCUGAAAGUGAAAGAGCAAGGAAAUUCUUUUAUAAGUUGCCUUGGUCAUGUUGUUUUGUCACAGCAAUAGAGAAGUAACUAAGACACCCUUUCUCAAAAAUAACAAAAACCAAGCAUCUUGACUGAUUUUGUUAUAAGCUAGAUUAGAUCUUUGGUGGAUUUCAAUGGGAUAUUUGCUGUGGGAUGUUUUAUAUGGCAAAUGUGUUGUUCUGAUUGGUUAGUAAAUAAAACACUGAUUGGCCAGUAGUCAGGCAGGAGGAAGUAUAGGCGGGACAAGGAGGAGAAGAAUUCUGGGAAGUGGAAGGCUGGGUCAGAGACACUGCCAGCCGCCGCCAUGACUAGCAGCAUAUGAAGAUGCUGGUAAGCCACGAGCCACGUGGCAAGGUAUAGAUUUAUAGAAAUGGAUUAAUUUAAGAUAUAAGAACAGUUAGCAAGAAUCCUGCCACGGCCAUACAGUUUGUAAGCAAUAUAAGUCUCUGUGUUUACUUGGUUGGGUCUGAGUAGCUGUGGGACUGGUGGGUGUCAGAGAUUUGUCCUGACUGUGGGCCAGGCAGGAAAACUCUAGCUACAAAUGGCGCCCAAUGUGGGGCAAGAGUUUCCACCUAAAACCUGAGUGUAAAAAGAUUCUAAAACGGAGCUAAAAACAGUUCUUAGUUGUCUCAUUCAAGUAGCAGCAGCCUGCGUGUUUGAGCUACUAUCUACUAUGGCGGGUUCCUGGCAUGCGCGCUCGACCUGCAGUAUGGCAGGAAUGAGGCCUCUGCAAGUGACACAUUAAGCUGCAUGGUGGAUUUAGCCUUUGCUAGUACAAAACAAAAAAGAGGUUUCUGGGCUACACGCUGCUUUGAUAGAAGCAUAGACCCACUAUUUCUGAGAAUUGAUGGCUCCCAGAGCUGGCGGAAAAUGUACCACCGCCAUGUUGGGAAGCUGAAGUGGGAGAAGGCAGCAGCCACAACGCCAUUUCAGUCUUAGAAUUCUGCAGUUUAAAGCAAUAGAUUCACAAUAAGACAGAUUCAGAUGUAAUAGUUUACAAUGUGUGUAAAAUAUAUGUAGGCUUAAAAGAGACAAAAAAGGUGAUAUAUACAGUUAUAAAAACAAAUACAUAGUUUUAAAAAAUAAAGUCGUUAACGAGACAGUAAAAUUAAUAUAAAAAAUAAGCCACGUAAAGAUGAAUAUUACACAGAGAAUCUGGAUUGUGUUGUCUUUGGGAUUUUUAACUGCAGCACAACAUUUGAUUGUAAAAGAUGUUGAGUUAAACCAAUAUGUAUAUUUUAAAGAUACCUUGACUUCAAAAUUUGGAUCUAAGGAUAUGUUGCUUUGGAAAGCAGGCUCUGCUUUUGUUUCCACAGAAAGCAAGAGGCUAUGUAUUUGUUUCAGAUUAAGAUACUUCAGGUUUGACCAGCCAAGACCCCCUGAAAGGUCUCCGAUGACACCAUGGCCCAGAUGAUCCAACAUCCAGAAUGGUUUCAAGGCAACUGGCUCAGACAAUACAGCCUCAUGGACUACUCCAUAAUCCUAAAAUUUUCUUUAUGUCCUCAUAAGAUACAGCACCCCCCUCCAGCAGAAAGUAGUAAGAGAAGCUACACCCAAAUUCCCAAAUUAUAUGUAAUUUUACUAGGUUAAGGUUAAAACCUUUCUUUUUGAAAAAAAGAAACGGGGAAGUGCUGUGGGAUGUUUUACAUGGCAAAUGUGUUGUUCUGAUUGGUUAGUAAAUAAAACACUGAUUGGCCAGUAGUCAGGCAGGAGGAAGUAUAGGCGGGACAAGGAGGAGAAAAAUUCUGGGAAGUGGAAGGCUGGGUCAGAGACACUGCCAGCCGCCGCCAUGACUAGCAGCAUAUGAAGAUGCCGGUAAGCCAUGAGCCAUGUGGCAAGGUAUAGAUUUAUAGAAAUGGAUUAAUUUAAGAUAUAAGAACAGUUAGCAAGAAUCCUGCCACGGCCAUACAGUUUGUAAGCAAUAUAAGUCUCUGUGUUUACUUGGUUGGGUCUGAGUAGCUGUGGGACUGGUGGGUGUCAGAGAUUUGUCCUGACUGUGGGCCAGGCAGGAAAACUCUAGCUACAGAUAUUCAUAUUUUCAAAGUUACUAGUAUAUACGUUUACAGAUGAUUUAAAAAUUAGAAUCUUCAUUUCAGAACUUUAAAAUUUUAAUAUAGGACGAAUUAACUAUUUGGUUUUUUUAAAAUUAAUUCCAUUUAUUUAUUCUCUCUCUCUCUCUCUCUCUCUCUCUCUCUCUCUCUCUCUCUCUCUCUCUCUCUCUGUAUGUGUGUGUGUGUGAACUUGAGGGAGUUGAUUCUAACUUUGACCGUAUGGGUCCCAGGGAUUGAACUCCGGCCAUCAAGCUUGGCUGGAAGUACCUUUACCUGAUGAGCCAUCUCACCAGCCGAAAAUUUACAGUUUGUUGCUUGAACUAAGAAACACAACUACACUGUGAGUACUAUAAUGCCAAAGUAUAAAACUUGAGAGGGUCUUACAUUUUUACAUAUAGAUGUCAUUAAAGUCACUCUAGAAUUUCCCUACUCACUAGUUGGUAAGCUAGCUCUUGAUUCAUUUCCUUCCUCCCUCCGUCCUUUCCUCACUGCUAGAGAGCAAACCCAGGCCUUUGUACAUGCUGAAUAAGUGCUCUCUAUCAUCAUUGAGCUACAGCCAGCGCUUGGGUUUUGAAGACAGGGUCAUAGUAUGUAGCUUAAACUCAUCUCUAACAUGUGAUUCUCCUGCCUCAACUUCCCAAAUGCUGGGAUCGUAGGCCUAUGUCCCAUGUCCAGCUGGUCCAUAGUUUCUUGUAGGUACUUAGCCCAUGAGACAGUACUUAUUUUUGUGAGUGGAUUGGUGAGGAUGCUUGAUGGUUCAAAUGCUUAUCAGCCAUUGUCAUUCUCACUUGUCCUAUUAAUGUUUUGGCUAUUUUUAUUGCAGUGAUCGCCACUAGGGUUUUCAGUGGAGUCAGUCAUUAGUCUCAGGGAGUAAAAUUAAGAAAGGAUCCAUGUGUCUAUUUAUGUAGCAGUCUGCUAGAGCAAUUACAUUUUCUCAUUGCUAUGUGGCAGCCCACUUCCUGUUUCUUAACAGAUCCUCACUCUUCUGACCGCAUGUCCAGCUGUAUCACGGAGGAGACUAUUAAGUCACACUAGCAGUUUCUGUGCAGAUGGAGGGUAAUGGCUACCAAAAUUACCUUCCCAAAGAUAGUCAUCUCUUUAACACUGUUACACAAUGAUGACAUAGGAAAAUGAAGUCUAACAAUUAGAAGUGAACUUGGCGAGAAGAAAAGAAUAUUUAUGUAAGUGAGAAAGGAGAGGUACAACGAUAUAUAUUUAGAAGGUCUAAUCACAAUCACUUAAGAUGACACUCAACUUUGUCAAAAAAUCCCAACAGAAAAGAAAAGAAAAAAAAAGCGAAUAAGGAAAAUGUCUUUCUCUAAGCCCAUAUACUUCGUUCACACCUGCAAUAUGGAAUAAAUCAUUGGCCCUUCACCAAAGCCUUUUGGAUCAAGAAUUGUCGUAAAAUACUUUUAAUUUCCAUAAGCCUUGAGUGUCCUUCCUCACACAGAACAAAUGAGAACAGAUAUGAGCAUGCAUAAACUAAGAAGAGUCAGAUUUAUUGAUAGUAGCAAGAAAUGACAGGUAGUGAUUGAUACUCAGACAAGGACUUGUCAUAUGUACAGAAGACCCCAGAGCUAGAGCACCUAAUUGAGGCCAUAACUAAGAACUUAACUGAAGUGUGAACCUAAUUAGUCCUAGCAAUAAAAAGCAGGAGUCAGAUACUAGGGUAAUAACCUGAAAGAUCAGAGAAGCAGAGGAGCGGCCACCAGUGACCUCUUACCUCUCCAGAUCCUCCAACCGAAAAGGGGUGAGAUCCUGACUCUGACCCACCUCAUCACUUCCUGUCUCUGCCUCCUGAGUGCUGAGAUUAAAGGUGUGAGCCACCACUGCUCAGCUUCUGUGGUUGACUAGUGGCUAGCUCAGCCCUCUGAUCUCCAGGCAAACUUUAUUUUUCAGGACACAAACAAAAUAUCACACAGCACCAGUUAGUGGAGCCAUUGCAUUUAAGUCACUUCGAGUGAUUGUCUAUGACUAUCCGAGCACCCAGGUAGUUUCUUGAAUUGCACCUGUAAAAGCUCUUUCGGAAGAGGCAGCUGGCUUUACAGUGUACUCACCUAACCUCCUCAUGCUGCUUCCCCAAAUUGUCAACUGUAAUCUUGUUUUUGGUAACAGAGUAGGAAAAAUGUAGAAGAUCCUGGGAAGACAUGAACCUGUACUGUCUCUCAGCUAACAACUGCUGGCAACCCUGGGCGAUUGAGGGAGGUCAUAGCCUAUUUGUUAAGGUGCUGAUUGAAACACUGGGACACCGGUUCCUUCCCUUAAUAUAAAACCAAUUUUGAGCCAAGUCAUUUAAGACCUUUUGAAAACUGACUCUAAAAUAGCAUGUGAUAUCCUGAGGAAAAAAAUAAACCAUGAUUUAGUAAACUAGGUGAUCCAUGGGGAAAGGGCAGCUUUAUAUGGUUUUCUUACAGAGAGAGAAGGCGUGGUAGAUAAAGUGAGGCCAGAAAAAACAAAACAACAAAACAAAAAAAACACCUUGCCACAGCCACAUGAUUUCCAGCUUGAAAUGGGCAUUUCCAUGUCUGCAGCCCAGUGAGUGGGUAGAAGGAUCCUCACUGAGCUUAUAAAAUGGAUAGUCUACAACCAACAAUGCUCUUAGGGGCAUGAUGGUGUCAUUUCUUUUUUCUUUUUAAGAAAUGUUUAUUGAUAUUAGUUAUGUGUAUAUGUGUGUGUUUGUGCACAUGUGAAUUAGGUACUCUUAGAGGCCAGAAGAGGGUGUCAGAUCCACUGGAGCUGUAGUUAGAGGUGGUUGUAAAUUGCCAUAUUCAGGUGCUAGGAAUGAACCCUGGUUCUCUGAAUAAGCAACAAUCACUCUUAGCUAUUAAGCCAUGGUAUCUUUUUUUUUUUUCUUUUCUAUUGAGACAGGGACAUGCUAUAUAGACUUAGCUGGCCUGGAUCUCCCUGUAUAGAACAGGUUGGCCUUGAACUCAUGGAGACCUACCUACUUUGGCCUCCAAAGUACUGGGAUUAAGGGCAUGUGUCACCAUGCCCAGCGAGAUGAUCUCAUUUCUCGAUGAACAUACUAUUAUGAGUGCUCCUUCAGAGUCAUUUUGCCACAGGCAAAUUACUGUUUCACUGAAGUGAUGGACAGAGCUGGCCUUCAGUGUCAGUGAUGAUAAUGGCGAUGGUGAAAAUGAAAAUGACGGUAAGAUACGUAGUAAAGCAUGCUCACAGUAAUUUGGCCAUAUGGUAAUGAGCAGUUGACGCCUAUCUGCUCCCCAGCCUCUGUUCUCACUUCAUUUAUCUUGUAAUAACUGGAUCCUGAAUUUUAUAGAAGAAUUACUGCUUUUGAAUUUCAUGGUACACAGUUCAGGGUUUCAUCGUGUAAUGGUGCCUACAGUAUAACAUCACUAAAUGCCAAGUGCUUUUGUGCUGAGAGCUUUGUGAAAGUUACUUCGUUUGAUCUUCAAAAGCACAUUGACAAAAGCUUUCAACGCAUUCCCAUUUUACUUAAAAUAAAGCCAAAGCUCUGUAUGAGGGUUUGUAGGGCCCAGCACGAGCCAUGCCUGCCUUCUUCUGUACCAUGCUCUCCAGUCUCCCCACCACAGCUGUGUGUACCUCAUAGCCUCGGAAUGUGCCACUCUCAAACUCAUUCCCUCCAUAGGGCUCUUCCCUGGCUUCCCUUUGUCCAGACUGUCCUUCUCUCAGACCUUACCAUAGAUGACUCUUUCCUGUUAUUCAGGUGCUGGGUCAAAUCUCACCUCAGAGCCACAGAGAAUUUCUUUGAAAACUGUCUAAAAAAAAUGUCAUUAAUCUCCCUCAUAUCACCUUGUUUUAUUUUCAUUCUAACACCUAACAUGUCAUCCUUAGAAUCUGCAGGCAUGGGCCCUGGGGUCUCUCUACAGAGACCCAAAGUUAUGGAUGUUCAGGCCCUUAUAGUUGACAGUACAGUGUUUGCUGUAACACCAAUCAUCUUGUACCCUCUAUAUCAUCUUUAUUACUGAUAGUUGCUAAUGUCAUGUGAAUGGUUGUCCUAUGGAUUGUUUAGGAAAGUCUGUACAUGUUUUCUCCAGAUGCAACUUAAAAAAUAGUUUCUGUCUGUAAUUGGUUGGACUCACAAAUGGGAAAUUCAUAGAUGUGGAAGGACAAUUGUAAACCAGCAAAUUUUCCCUCUUUUCAAAAAAUUUUUAUCUUUAUAUUUAUUUAUUUAUUUAUUUAUUUAUUUAUUUAUUUAUUUAUUUAUUUAUUUAUUUAUAUGUGUGUGUAUGUGUGUGUGCACACAUGCAUGUGCACAUACGCAUUCAGCACAGUGUGCAUGUAGAGGUCAGAUGAUAAUAUUCGGGAGUCAGUUCUCUUCCACCUUAUGUGGGUUCUCUGGGUUGAAUUUAGAAGAUCAGGAUGUAGCUGAGGAUGACUUUGAGUUUCUAAUCCUUAUGCCUCCACGUUCUGAAAGCUAGAAUUACAUGCAUAUUACCACACUAGGCUUUUGCCUCCUGGGCCACCUCAUCAGAACUGCCAGUAAAAUUUCAUAUUUCUUAAAAACACUCUGCCAUGGACUGACUUGCUCCUGUAGCCAUGCCUUUCCCAUCCUGAUGGACUGAUAUCUCCUGAAAUCAUGAACCAAAAUAAAUCCCCCCUCCUCUAAAACAGAAACAACAGAUCUUUUUAUUCCUACCAGUUGGAAUUCAAUCUUAUUGGUAAUUUGAAUAAAAUCUUUCCUUUAUUACAG
This is a long non-coding RNA of Peromyscus californicus insignis, 15386 nucleotides long. RefSeq lists it as uncharacterized. Lineage: Eukaryota; Metazoa; Chordata; Mammalia; Rodentia; Cricetidae. The record is from RefSeq and is a predicted model, not a curated record. The transcript is spliced from 2 exons.